CCCCUAGAUGUUCUGGGCCGCACGCGCGCUACACUGAACAGUUCAACAAGUCUUAACCUUGGCCGAUAGGUCUGGGUAAUCUUUGAACGCUGUUCGUGAUUGGGAUAGACCUUUGCAAUUAUGGGUCUUCAACGAGGAAUUCCUAGUAAACGCAAGUCAUCAGCUUGCAUUGCUUACGUCCCUGCCCUUUGUACACACCGCCCGUCGCACCUACCGAUUGAAUGGUCCGGUGAAAUCUCGGGACGGCGGCUUGGUCGCUUGCGUCCGACUGCUGAAACUUGAUUAAACCAUAUCAUUUAGAGGAAGGUGAANUCGUANCA
RNAcentral lists this ribosomal RNA (320 nucleotides) under uncultured eukaryote. Its description in RNAcentral is "partial 18S ribosomal RNA". It matches the Rfam family "Eukaryotic small subunit ribosomal RNA", at positions 1470 to 1796 of the family's 1831-position model. The record is from RNAcentral.